This 426-nucleotide ribosomal RNA is filed under the name uncultured bacterium. RNAcentral describes it as "bacterial SSU rRNA". It matches the Rfam family "Bacterial small subunit ribosomal RNA", at positions 354 to 796 of the family's 1533-position model. The record is from RNAcentral.
GUGAGGAAUUUUCCGCAAUGGGCGAAAGCCUGACGGAGCAAUGCCGCGUGAAGGAUGAAGGCCUAUGGGUUGUAAACUUCUUUUCUCAGAAAAGAAUUAUGACGGUAUCUGAGGAAUAAGCAUCGGCUAACUCUGUGCCAGCAGCCGCGGUAAGACAGAGGAUGCAAGCGUUAUCCGGAAUGAUUGGGCGUAAAGCGUCUGUAGGUUGUUUAAAAAGUAUUCUGUCAAAGAUUAGGGCUUAACCCUAGAUAGGCAGCAUAAACUUUUAAGCUAGAGUGUGGUAGAGGCAGAGGGAAUUCCCGGUGGAGCGGUGAAAUGCGUAGAUAUCGGGAGGAACACCAAAGGCGAAGGCACUCUGCUGGGCCAAUACUAACACUGAGAGACGAAAGCGAGGGGAGCAAAUGGGAUUAGAAACCCCGGUAGUCC